GACGAACGCUGGCGGCGUGCUUAACACAUGCAAGUCGAACGGAAAGGCCCUGCUUUUGUGGGGUGCUCGAGUGGCGAACGGGUGAGUAACACGUGAGUAACCUGCCCUUGACUUUGGGAUAACUUCAGGAAACUGGGGCUAAUACCGGAUAGGAGCUCCUGCUGCAUGGUGGGGGUUGGAAAGUUUCGGCGGUUGGGGAUGGACUCGCGGCUUAUCAGCUUGUUGGUGGGGUAGUGGCUUACCAAGGCUUUGACGGGUAGCCGGCCUGAGAGGGUGGCCGGCCACAUUGGAACUGAGAUACGGCCCAGACUCCAACGGGAGGCAACGGUGGGGAAUAUUGCACAGUAGGCGGAAGCCUGGUGCGACAACGCCGCGUGCGGGAAGACGGCCUUCGGGUUGUAAACCGCUUUCGCCUGUGACGAAGCGUGAGUGACGGUAAUGGGUAAAGAAGCACCGGCUAACUACGUG
This 468-nucleotide ribosomal RNA is filed under the name uncultured bacterium. Its description in RNAcentral is "partial 16S ribosomal RNA". It matches the Rfam family "Bacterial small subunit ribosomal RNA", at positions 28 to 507 of the family's 1533-position model. The record is from RNAcentral.